Molecule: long non-coding RNA, 217 nt
Filed under: Elaeis guineensis (African oil palm)
Lineage: Eukaryota; Viridiplantae; Streptophyta; Magnoliopsida; Arecales; Arecaceae
Description: long non-coding RNA (EGUI_LNC066011)
Source: RNAcentral
CUUUGGAGUCUCGUGGAGAUCUCAAAAUCAUUAGUUUGUGGUCUUCAUAGUGGUAUAUGACUUCUGAUAUUUUCUUUAUAUGCUUGAUUUUGUGAUUUGAUUGUAAUCAUCAAGGGGUUCCUUGGGUUUUUGAGUUUCGGAGGUUGUAUUUAAAUGUUAUACCUUAUUUUCAUUAUUAUAUGCAUGUUAAAAAAUUUUGAAAUCUAUAUUCUGCUGC